UUAAUGAAAAACUUUGGAAUGUUUAAUCAGGGGUGGUGGCAAGCCCCUUAUAAAGCAGAAAAUACAUCAUAUGCUAAACAUGAGAUAACAGAGAAUGCAUCUUUAUUGGUCAAGUAUUGUCUUUUCUAAUACACUUCCUCCAAAAUGUGAUGUCACCAUUUCUUUCGAUAACAGUCCCCCCUUAAAAUGAUUAUUUACUAAAAAAAAAGCCAUAUCUAGCAGCAAAAGCUAUCCCUAUAACAUGGGUCACUGCCCCCUCUUGAUUUUUCAGCUUGUUCGUGUAAGAUUGAAAAUACAGUGCAAUACCGGCGCCGGCCAGUAGGUGUAGGCGCUGUGUGUAUGGAGAGAGAGAGACAGGGAUAGGAAGCUACAUAUUAUCCCAGUUUCUCUCUCCUGACUGAAUCCGCAGGGGAGCAACACAUACAGCCAGAGAGCCUACAGAUCAGGUAAGUGAGCCAAUGGGCAGAGAGAGCCUAUAGAUCAGGUAAGUGAGGCAGGGGGGAGCAGAGAGCCUAUAGCUCAGGGAAGUGAGGCGUGGGGGAGCAGAGAGCCUAUAGAUCAGGGAAGUGAGGCAUUGGGGGGGACAGAGAUGGCCUACAGAUCAGGGAAGUGAGGCAUGGGGAGGCAGCCUACAGGAAGGGUCAGCAAGGAGAAGAAAGGUAAAGUAAGAGAAGGAAUAGAAAUGAGCAGAAAGGGACAGCAAGGAGCACAACAGGUAAAGUAGGAGAAGGAGCACAAAGGAACACAAAUGAGCAUGAAGGGGCUGGAAGGUAAAGCAGCACAAAUGUAAAGUAGAAGGAGCAGAAAGCGUCAGCAAGGAGCUGAAAAUGGCAGGAAGGGACAGAAGGAGCGCAAAGGUGAAGUAGGAGAAGGAACAGGAAGGGGCAGCAAGGAGUAGGAAGGGUCUGAAAAGAGCACAAAGGUAAAGGAACAGGAAGAAGCAGAAGGAGCACAAAGGUAAUGUUGGAGAAGGAACAGAAAAGGGUAGCAAGGACCAGAAAGGGAUCAGAAAGAGGAAGGGGGGAGUAAAAUAAGCAGAAAGUAACAGAAAGGUAAAUGAGCAGGAGUUAAGGAGGAGAGAAGACAGUGUCAGAAGAAAAAGAAGACUUUGUCAAAUAAAAGAGAAGAAAAGGAGAUUGGAGCAGGAAGGACAAAUGAAGUGAACCCUCCACUUUAUUCUGGACACCACAUCAUAAGACUUUGGUACCUGGGCCUGGCAGGGAAACUUUGGACCUCCUCAUCUCCCCAGGUAAAAAAAAUAUCAGUGUUAAUGUGUUCACUUUUAUUUACUGAGUGUCAGGAAGCAUAGAGUGCCGCUGGGGAGGGGUGUCGCUGAUUGGCUAGAGCGGUCAACUGGCACUCUAAGUCAAUCAGUAGCUCCCUAUUCAUAAAAAAGUCAAACAUUUUUAUGAACUGGGAACUAGUGAUUGGCAUAGAGCAUCAACUGACCACUCUAGUCAAUCUGUAGCACCCAUGCCUGAUGUCAAUCUGAACUUCCUGACACUCGGUUUCAGAAGCCGAAUACCACUGAGCGACCUGGAAAUCUGGAGCUGGAUGAAGUCUUUGGGGUUAAACCAUUUGAGAGCAGUUUAACCCCUUAAAGGAAAGAGAGCACCCAGGGGCUUCCUGGCAUCAUAGCAUUUUCAUUUAGAUGAAGUUGUUGUGGUGACCAGAAUGUUCCUUUAAUUUGCUUAAAGGAACAAUAUAGUGUCAGGAAUACAAACAUGUACUCCUGACAGCAUAGUUGUGAAAACCCUAUUCACCCUGGCUUUAUGUGAUAAUGACUAUGCUCCUCCCCUUCAUGACACUGUCAAAAAGGGACCAAGCAUGGAUGUCAUUACAAUUAUGCCCCCCCUGGAAAAAUUCCUGCGGACACCCAUGCCCUAUAAGCUGUCCCUAGUAACCUACAGCACAUCUGUCCAACAGGCCUUGGAACACUUUUGGUGCUGCACAUAAGACAAGCAGUGGCUUGUCCACCACCCCCCUCGCUACAGACUUUGCCCGUAAAGACAGACGCUAACCCUAUGGUCCCUAAAAUAAUGUAGCUUUGGUAUUAGUGGGGGGGACUGCAACGGGGCAUAGGGCUUGUCAUAGUCCAUCUCAUUCAUCUCCUGAUGAAUGAAAGUCGGUGUAGCCUGAUCUGCUGUUUUCUCUAAACACUUCUUAUUUCAGGGAAGAACACAACAAACAAUAAGAGCAAGGAUGAUCAACAUUAUCAGGACCACCACACCUAUUUGAGCCAGAACUUUUUGCCAACCAGAUAUCCACCCAAACCAUCUUUCCCAUGGGUCAGUGACUCCAGAGUUCCUUUUCAAUUCUUCUGAGAGACUCUCUAAUUUCUCUUUUGCCAGAGUUACCUUGCCAUUUGGGCCUGUGUUGUCUGGAAUGUAGGUGCAACAUGUCAUAGUGUCAAGGAGUAUUUUACAUACCCCCCUUUUUCCGCUAGGAUCAUAUCUAAGGCCAUUCUAUUCUGGAAAGUCACCUGGGAUGUGGCAUGAAGUUGCUCUGCCACCCCUGGAGGGCAUCUCUUGUAUAGUUUACAAACCGUUGUUGGUUAUAAUAUAUAUAAUUAAUCCAAUUCAAAUUCUUAUUGGCCAUGAUGAUAGGGAGCAUGGAUUCAAACCCUGCUGCAACUUCAUCUCUUGCCUUGAAUUCAUUAGGCACCCCCCUUGGCACUCCAAUGGAAUCUAUAUAUACAUGGGGGGCGAAACUGCCAUUUACAGGAGUGCCUCUUCUGGUUCUGAUGUGUGAGUGUGACUUGUCAUGUGCAACUUGGUGGCUGUCAGAUAUAAUGUGUAUUGGCAUAAUAACUUUGGCCAGGGUGCACCCCCCCACCAUAAAUUUUCCAGCCUUGACCUAAGCUGCAUAUCCACACAUAACCAAUACAUGUCCCCCAGGGAUUUGACAUGUUUUUAUAGUAGGGCAAGUGGAUCUGUGCUAUAGGUGGCCCACUUUUUACCAGUGAAAUUACUCAAGGACCGGCCUUUUCCACCAUACAGUUGCAAGAAAAAGUAUGUGAACCCUUUGGAAUGAUAUGGAUUUCUGCACAAAUUGGUCAUAAAAUGUGAUCUGAUCAUCAUCUAAGUCACAACAAUAGACAAUCACAGUCUGCUUAAACUAAUAACACACAAAGAAUCAAAUGUUGCCAUGUUUUUACUGAACACACCAUGUAAACAUUCACAGUGCAGGUGGAAAAAGUAUGUGAACCCUUGGAUUUAAUAAUUGGUUGAACCUCCUUUAGCAGCAAUAACUUCAACCAAAUGUUUUCUGUAGUUGCAGAUCAGACGUGCACAACGGUCAGGAGUAAUUCUUGACCAUUCCUCUUUACAGAACUAUUUCAGUUCAGCAAUAUUCUUGGGAUGUCUGGUGUGAAUCCCCUUCUUGAGGUAAUGCCACAGCAUCUCAAUCGGGUUGAGGUCAGGACUCUGACUGGGCCACUGCAGAAGGCGUAUUUUCUUCUGUUUAAGCCAUUCUGUUGUUGAUUUACUUCUAUGCUUUGGGUCAUUGUCCUGUUGCAACACCCAUCUUCUGUUGAGCUUCAGCUGGUAGACAGAUGGCCUUAAGUUCUCCUGCAAAAUGUCUUGAUAAACUUGGGAAUUCAUUUUUCCUUCGAUGAUAGCAGUCCGUCCAGGCCCUGACGCAAUAAAGCAGCCCCAAACCAUGAUGCCCCCACCACCAUACUGCACAGUUGGGAUGAGAUUUUGAUGUUGGUGUGCUGUGCCUUUUUUUCGCCACACAUAGUGUUGUGUGUUUCUUCCAAACAACUCAACUUUGGUUUCAUCUGUCCACAGAAUAUUUUGCCAGUACUGCUGUGGAACAUCCAGGUGCUCUUGCGCAAACUGUAAACGUGCAGCAAUGUUUUGUUUGGACAGCAGUGGCUUCCUCUGUGGUAUCCUCCCAUGAAAUCCAUUCUUGUUUAGUGUUUUAUGUAUUGUAGAUUCGCUAACAGGGAUGUUGGCAUUUGCCAGUGACUUUUGUAAGUCUUUAGCUGACACUCUAGCAUUCUUCUUCAACUCAUUGAGCAGUCUGCGCUGUGCUCUUGCAGUCAUCUUUACAGGAUGGCCACUCCUAGGGAGAGUAGCAGCAAUCUAAUCUCAUUGAUAGGACUCCAGUUGGCUGACAUCUCACUCCAAUUAGCUCUUGGAGAUGUCAUUAGUCUAGGGGUUCACAUACUUUUUCCACCUGCACUCUGAAUGUUUACAUGGUGUGUUCAAUAAAAACAUGCCAACAUUUCAUUCUUUGUGUGUUAUUAGUUUAAGCAGACGGUGA
RNAcentral lists this long non-coding RNA (4269 nucleotides) under Pelobates cultripes (western spadefoot toad). Lineage: Eukaryota; Metazoa; Chordata; Amphibia; Anura; Pelobatidae. The record is from RNAcentral.